UAAUGAUAAUAUAUUAUUAAAUUUGUAGGUUAUUUGCUUGUCUACAGGUAGUACACAAUGUCGCCACCUCUUACAGCAGCAACAACAGCUCCAUUGCUGUUUCAACUCUACAUCAAAGUGCACAAUUGCUGUGGCUGACAACAGGUGGUGUGCAAGUCUCUCAGCAACACAUGACAACAUGUUUUCAGUGCUGUCUGCUAAUGGUAUUGGUCUGAUGGAACCUCAAAGAUUAUUCACUUCACUUUCUAAUCCACCAGUAAGACAAAAACUUCAAGAAACAGUUCUAUGAAAUAACUCAUGGCUACAUUAAGAUCAGAACAGUUUUCACUUGAAAGUUUCAUUGGACUUCAACAGCUACCAGCCACACAGUGAGGUGUACCUUGGGUACAUUUUAGUUCUUGAACCGAGAUGGCUCUCCUGUUCCAAGCAAGCACGGAUACAGGAUGAAGUAAUCACUUACUGAUAAUAUAAUGGGAAUGGAUAGAGAAAAAAUCUACUCACCAAGCAGCGGGAGGGGAACACACACACAAAAGGAUUCAACUUUUACAAGCUUUCGGAGGCAGCGGCUCCUUCUUCUCACAGAAGAGUCGAAGAGGAAGGAAGAGGUGUGAAGGAAAAGGACUGGAGAGGUUUAGUGAAAGGGAUACAGUUCAUAAAAGUCACCCAGAACUUUGGUUCAGGGGAGACUUACCAGAUGGGAUGAGAAGGAAGAAAAGAGUCUUUUCUUCCUCCUUGCUGCUGCUUCAAUGUAACUUCUGUGAAGUUUAUAAUGUAGCAGAUGAGGUACUGGCAGAAGCAAACCUGUGAGGACAGGUUGUGAGUCACGCUUGGAUAUCUCAGUUGGCAGAGCACUUGCACAUGAAAGAUAAAGGUCCUCAGUUUGAAUCUUAAUCCAGCACACAGUUUUAAUCUGCCAACAAGUUUCAUACCAGUGUACAUUCAGGUGCAGAGUGAAGAUUCCUUCUGGAUGGACAGUUUUGUUUCUGAUGUUGGAGUGCCACACUGAAAAUGAAACACUCCUUAGCAAAAAGGAUUUAAAUAAGUUUACACCCACUGCAGAACUAUUUUUGUGACAAUACUAUGGUGCAAAAAUUUCUGACCUAGUGGACUGGCAACAGUGAUUAGAGAAGGGACACACUUAUAUAUCAUGUUGUAAUAUGGUAGUGGAACUUAAAAUUUGUUCUGUUUGCUUUUAAUGAAUGAGAUUACUAUUCCAUUUUCAAUGUCAGCACACCCAUAUCCUUUUAUUGUA
Long non-coding RNA from Schistocerca serialis cubense, 1252 nucleotides. RefSeq lists it as uncharacterized. NCBI's taxonomy places the organism in Eukaryota, Metazoa, Arthropoda, Insecta, Orthoptera, Acrididae. The transcript is spliced from 3 exons. The record is from RefSeq and is a predicted model, not a curated record.